This 54-nucleotide non-coding RNA is filed under the name unclassified sequences. The record is from RNAcentral.
CCCACUCCAGGCCUGCACCUUGUCAUGGUGAGUGGGCUUCUAACCAAGACAGGC